Molecule: long non-coding RNA, 942 nt
Organism: Alexandromys fortis (reed vole)
Lineage: Eukaryota; Metazoa; Chordata; Mammalia; Rodentia; Cricetidae
Exons: 4
Source: RefSeq, a predicted model, not a curated record
ACAGAGAUACAGAGCGUGCAUCAAUAAAUAAAACAGGACUGUCAUAUCCUGCCAAGACAGGGUAAGAUAGUUUUGAAAAGUUGCUUGCCUUUGAAAAUGGUAUGUCAGUUAUGUUAGGCCUUAGCCAAAGUUGGUUGCUUCAACGCUGCAAACAUGACUUUAGGUGAUUGCCCAGGUAGCUAGUUGUCUCUGUGAUUUGUUGCAUGUUUUGGAAGUUGUUUUACUGAACUUCCUAAUUACCCAGGUAACAUUAUUUCCCUUCUCAGAUCUUCGAUGGGGUUGAAGACUAUAUAAAUGUAGUUAAUUUUCUCUCACGACUUGGCCAAGUUAUUUAUUAUACAAGACCUAAGCUAGUUAGAAUAGGAUAUUUGUACUUAUUGUAUAUAAUUUCAUAGUAGGUUUAGAACUCUCUUACUUAAACAAAAGGGGGAGGUGUUGCGGGAGGUCCUUCUGCCCCUCCAACCAAUAGCUGCUGUGAUACCAGCUCAUUGGGGCGUGGUCUCUCUCCCUUUAAAAAAGUGGCUAUUUCCUCUGCUCGCUCUCUUCUCUUCCUGCUCCGCUGGAGACUAGACUCCCUUCCUGGUUGUGCAGAUGGCUGUUGUCUGGGAUUGUGAUCUGUAUCUUGGUCACCAGAGCUUAAGAUGAAUUCCAUCUUAAGGAGUGGACUGUAAAUGCAAUCAGAGAGAACAAUUUGGCUGCUGCACAUGGACCAUCUACCUAAUGAGAAAAUGAAAGGCACCAGCAGAGAGCAGGAACCAAACCCGAAAGAGGUUACUUCACAAAAUGUCUGAAGACAUGUAAUGGCUGGUGGAAAGAUGGGAGCCAGCAAGCCAGAGUCAUUGCUUUGAUGAAAUCUUUGUUUGUGAUGACCUAGAAAAUGUGGUCAACUAAAGGCAAGGUAGAGUGAAAAUAUGACCAUAGAGACAGACAAAGAAAAGGGAA